Molecule: long non-coding RNA, 315 nt
Filed under: Capsicum annuum
Lineage: Eukaryota; Viridiplantae; Streptophyta; Magnoliopsida; Solanales; Solanaceae
Description: long non-coding RNA (CANN_LNC020945)
Source: RNAcentral
CUAGAUUUGGUUAGUAAAGGGGUUCUUAGAUGAGGGAAUAGAGUUUUCUGAUGACUUCUCACCGGAAAAACCGAGCUUCCUGAUCCAUUUUCCCUUUUCUCCCAUGCCUCUAUUUUCCAAUCACUCUUAUUUUCUCAGUUUUUCUCUCAAUUUCUCUCUCGAUCUCAAUCUCUUUCUCGAUUCUCUUCUUUAUUCUCCCUCUAUUUUUCAGCUCUUUCACUGGUUUCCCUUUCUCUAUUCUCGUUUAUCCUAUUUUUCUCUUACUUCAGUGUGUGCUUGUAUAUGAUAUCAGUGAAGAGUGUGUGUGGCGUGAAU